Molecule: long non-coding RNA, 2292 nt
Filed under: Sus scrofa (pig)
Lineage: Eukaryota; Metazoa; Chordata; Mammalia; Artiodactyla; Suidae
Description: lncRNA (ENSSSCG00070015867.1)
Source: RNAcentral
AUGAAGACUGAGGAUGCUGAGCAACCAAGAACCAGGAGCAGGGCUCAGAGCCCCGGAGAUGGAGUGACAAGGACACUGGGGGCCGGGCCCCGGAACUGCGGUGCUCCAUGCCCGCCCUGCUGCUCUGGGACAGAGCACCGUCGGCCUCCCCAGGAUCCCACCCAGCGGGAGCGCUGCAAGGACCAGGCUUGGACUGUGCUGGGUGGGCAACCCAGCGUGUGGGUUUCAGAGGCAACUAAGCAGACCAGAUGUUUCAUCUCACCCUGGAGCAAAGAGACCACCUUCCUCCAAAAAAGGAGAUUUCCCACCCAAGUCAGGGAGGUGGCUGCGGCUCAGCGUCCCGCUGCCGCACACAGGUACUCCCCCACUGCCCUCGCCAGCCCUCCCCCCAGGCAGGAUUCGCUCACCAGUAUCCCGUCUCCUCCUAGUAUUUCCCGUCUCCUCCUAGUAUUAGUUAAGAUCAGCAUUCGGUCAUGGCUGCUGCAGCCAGGUCUGGGCUAGGCCCUGAGCACACAGGAAUUCAUCAGGCGUUGGCCCUGUGUUUGAGAAGGUCAUGACCUAUGAGAAGAAGGAUGACGACACCCUGGGAAUGGCUGUGAGGGAGACUUAAAAUGUGGCUACUGUGCUGAGCAAUCGAGGCUGCUUCUCCAGGUCGCUGCUGGAGGCAGGAGUCAGGAGCAGGUGGAGGUCCAGGAAGAGGGUUUCAGGAACAGAGGGCACCUGACAUGGGUCUUAGAGGAAGAUGGGUCAGCUGUUUCGAGGGAAGGGGGCAAGGCUGGGCUCCAGUGGAGAAGCAGUGAGGCCUUCCCUCCGUGUUCCCACAGUGCAAUGGGAAUGGGGGCAGUGCGUUUGCCGUUUCCCUUUAAGGCCCUCUGCAAAGGGUCUCAGACGUCAGAGCUUUUAAUGGUGCCACCCCUGCGUCCCCAGCAGGCAACAGGUGGGCCCAGGAGUGGAUACCCUCUGUGCGCAGCGCUGUCUCCUAUUGACUGUCAGAGGGCCUCUUCAUGUCAGCAUUUUCUGAAUGUGCCGUGAUGUCAGUGAAACUGGUGGGAGUCUUGAGAGACUGAGGCACUCACCUCUAACCUGCGAGGCCUCCCUCCAGUUGUUGGUUCCCGUGACACCUGAACCCUUAGAGGCAGUGAGGCAGGGGUGGAGAAUGAAGGUGGGAGAAGGGGAAAUGGGCCCGUUGAAAUCAGAGACGGGCUCACAGGCCCCAAAUACCAGUGUCUAGUAUGCACCUGUCAGCUCAGUGUCAAGAGCCUGGCACGUGGGCCGAUCCAGGGGUCCAAGUCCUCCUCUCCUGGGGCCUGGCCAGGACUGAGACCCCAGGAUGUUUGUCAGCCACCACAGCUCACACAGGUCUUAGCCUGCCUGGGGCUCCCCGGCGAAGGAGCGGAACUCAGCCGCUUCCAGCUCCGCCUCGCCAGGCUGAAGGAGCGCGAGUGCUCUGGGGAGCGGUGGCCCUGCUCCCCUCGCUGAGGUUAGACGUGCUGCCGCUCUUCCCACUCUUCGGCGGCUGAGCUCUGCUCGGGGGUCCAGAUCACCAGGGACGGGCAGCACCCAGCAUGCUGGCCGGUGACCUCAGUCCCCUCCCUAGAUGGAUACUGGCAACGUCCACGUUCAAAACCAUGCACGUGUGCCCCCACUCUUGGACAGAAGCACACCCCUUCUCGCGUGAUUUCCCACAGCGCGAAGGCCUCAGCCCAAGCCGCGUGUGGCCACCCCCCUGCCCCGCCGACAGAGCCGCGGGGGCGGGCGGAAGAGGGCCCGGCCCUCUGCGCCACCAGGGGAAGGAGGCUGAGCGCGGGAGCUGUCGAGCCCCUUCUUUCUGGAACACGCCGAGCGCUUUGGGGCCAGGCGGACUGCCGGCGGAGGGCACUGGGGAUGGAGGCUCCCCUGUGAUGGUGGCGUGUGUUCUUAUGUGUUUGUUGGUUACGUGUGUCUUGAAAUUAGGAAUCAUUUCGCACAGAAUCGUCGCUUUGUCGGGAAGAGAAAAUGGGCUAGAAGCAGCCCCGUCUUCGGUUUCGGGCUCUGUUACACUUAAAAUUGAUGUUUAAUUUUUCAAAUCACUGUUGGUGCCUAAUCACUUAAGUUAUUAAUUUAUUCUGUUUUCUUUUAAAAACAAAUCGAUAACCUGUAUUUAUCCUGCGAGGAGGUCUGGGGGGGCUGGGAACGUGUUCACGCGGGUCCUGUGUUGGCUGUGGUGACACAUGGUACAGGCCUGGAGCUUGCAGGUCCCUUUUUACUGUGGUCUCGGAGCUGGACAACAAUAAAGUCCAUUAGAAGCAACCA